CUCGACUCCAUGAAGACUGGAUUCGCUAGUAAUCGCGCAUCAGCCAUGGCGCGGUGAAUACGUUCCCGGGCCUUGUACACACCGCCCGUCAAGCCAUGGAAGCCGGGAGUGCCUGAAGUGUGCAACCGCAAGGAGCGCCCUAAGGUAAAACUGGUGACUGGGGCUAAGUCGUAACAAGGUAGC
Molecule: ribosomal RNA, 183 nt
Filed under: uncultured bacterium
Lineage: Bacteria
Description: partial 16S ribosomal RNA
Rfam family: Bacterial small subunit ribosomal RNA
Source: RNAcentral